RNAcentral lists this small RNA (621 nucleotides) under Pongo abelii (Sumatran orangutan). Its description in RNAcentral is "processed transcript". Lineage: Eukaryota; Metazoa; Chordata; Mammalia; Primates; Hominidae. The record is from RNAcentral.
CUGACAGCCCAGGGGAAGGAGACAGGUUUUACAGGGAUAAAAAAGGGGGAUUAUCCUGAUGCCCUUAUCACCAACUACUAUCUAUGGCCUGCUGUGCAGUUAGCCAACUUCUACCUGGUCCCCCUUCAUUACAGGUUGGCCGUUGUCCAAUGUGUUGCUGUUAUCUGGAACUCCUACCUGUCCUGGAAGGCACAUCGCCUCUAAGCCUGCCUCACUCCGUUUCCACCUUGCAGUGAUGCAGCUUGACCCUGGAACGGUCAGACAACCUCCUCAAAGUGGGCAUACCAGUUUCCACGGGGUUGGGUUGCCGGUCAGAGCUUAAGAGGACUAGCACCCUGCAAUGCCCCUCUUCACUCUAAAAUGUACACUGACUGCUUUAGAGCCCUUGAUAAUAGUCUUAUUCCCACCACAUAUGAGGCACUCCAUAAAUAUCUGUUGAACGUUCAUGACCUUAUCAACUUUACACCCAUAUCUCAGCAAAUGCCACUCAUCCCCACUCUUCAUAGACACAUUUGUUACUCUAACCCUGCCUAGGCUUCUUGUAGCUCCAGCUCUUUAGAGAUUACUAGAACCCUUUAUGUGGUGCCUCAGUAAAUAUGUUAUUAAAUAUGUAAUCCGGAA